UUAUUUAAGAAAAAACCAGAUUGAUUAAAUUUAUUUAUCGUCAUGGGCUUGGAAGAUUUUCGAUUAUCGGGCUUUAAAAGGCUUCCCAUAUCUUCACCUAGCUAAAUUCUAGUAGCUUUGAAAAUUUAGCAGGCAGUUAUUGGUGGAGCUGGCAUUCUUCUUUACGAGCCAAAUGCACCAGUCCCAGUCCCACCCAUUCGUGCUUCUCUCCGGCCCUCCUUCCUGGUAAUCUCUCAUCAUACCCCAAUUUCUGCAGCGGGAAAAGGUCCUUACCUCAUUAGAAGCUGAGGAUGAUCGCAAGUGGUCUUCCUAUGCAACCGUAGCAUGAUAGAAAGCAACCCUCCUCUUCUCUCUCAGGUAAAAACUUGAUAUUCUCUCCUUCGUAGGAAAAGAAAUAUUACUGUUUCUUUGUUUUCCGGGGUGCUAUUAGAAGCUGAGGAUGAUCGCAAAGUACUCAUUAGUUCAUUAGUGUCUAAGGGGAUCAUUGAGGAUGAGGAGAUGGACAAUGAUGUUGUUGUUAAUGCUAGUGGGGAGACAUUAUUCUCCGCUAAAUGAUGUUAUAUGAUUUCCACAACAUUACAGGUACGCUUUCAACCCGUUCUUUUGGAUUCUGUGACUUCUAGUCCCAAUUCCCGUAAAAGAUGUGUUAAUAUGUGUUUACAUCCGUUUAUCUUGUACCUAGCUUGUUUUUGCAAAUUGAAAUGUUGAUUUCAGCAUUUGAUGGUUCUAAAUACUUGAACAGAAGCUUGCCUUUUCUUUUGCAAUUAGUCAUGGUUAUUCCCGCAACUAAAGUUUCCAGGGAGAUUUUCAGUAUUUCCAUUUUGGUUGUUUCAUCUUCCAGCGUUGUUGUUAACCUCGAUCAGUUGUGCAUCUAGUUUCAUUACUACAU
RNAcentral lists this long non-coding RNA (889 nucleotides) under Populus trichocarpa (black cottonwood). Its description in RNAcentral is "long non-coding RNA (PTRI_LNC000066)". The record is from RNAcentral. Lineage: Eukaryota; Viridiplantae; Streptophyta; Magnoliopsida; Malpighiales; Salicaceae.